RNAcentral lists this ribosomal RNA (606 nucleotides) under uncultured organism. RNAcentral describes it as "bacterial SSU rRNA". It matches the Rfam family "Bacterial small subunit ribosomal RNA", at positions 13 to 666 of the family's 1533-position model. The record is from RNAcentral.
UUGAUCCUGGCUCACGAUGAACGCUAGCGGUCUGCUUAACACAUGCAAGUCGAACGGGCUCUUCGGAGCUAGUGGCGGACGGGUGAGUAACGCGUGAGGAUCUGCCUUCAGGAGGGGGAUAGCGACUGGAAACGGUCGCUAAUACCGCAUAUGCCUACGGGUGAAAGAUUUAUCGCCUGGAGAUGAACUCGCGUCAGAUUAGCUAGUUGGUGGGGUAAGAGCCUACCAAGGCGACGAUCUGUAGCUGGUCUGAGAGGAUGAUCAGCCACACUGGGACUGAGACACGGCCCAGACUCCUACGGGAGGCAGCAGUGGGGAAUAUUCCGCAAUGGGCGCAAGCCUGACGGAGCAAGACCGCGUGCGGGAUGACGGCCUAAUGGUUGUAAACCGCUUUUCUCUGGGAAGAUGAUGACGGUACCAGAGGAAUCAGCCUCGGCUAACUCCGUGCCAGCAGCCGCGGUAAUACGGAGGAGGCAAGCGUUAUCCGGAAUCAUUGGGCGUAAAGCGUCCGUAGGUGGUCAUUCAAGUCUGCUGUCAAAGCGUGGGGCUUAACUCCAUAGAGGCAGUGGAAACUGGAUGACUUGAGUGCGGUACGGGUCGAGGGAA